GUCCAGGAAAAUAUGUUUAGUGGACAUGGCAUCUGACCGGUAAGCGGAACACUGUGGGUUCGAUUCCCAUCCCUGAACA
Cordylochernes scorpioides is the source of this 79-nucleotide non-coding RNA. NCBI's taxonomy places the organism in Eukaryota, Metazoa, Arthropoda, Arachnida, Pseudoscorpiones, Chernetidae. The record is from the annotation of a GenBank genome assembly.